UAAGUUUCUUGUGAAAUCUUAUAUCUCAAAUAUAAAGAGAGAAAGAAAUACUGCUAAGCUAGAGACUGGAAGACGUAAGAAGUACGUUCGAAGUAGCGGUAAAAUGUGUUAAUCUCAGACGGACUAACAAUAGCGAAGGCAUCUUACGAGGACAGUUCUGACAGUAAGGGAUGAAGGCUAGGGGCGCAAAACGGAUUAGAUACCCGUGUAGUCCUAGCAGUAAACACUGCACACUAAACAUUAGUACCUCCUCGAGAGGUAUUGGUGCUGAAGGGAAGCCGAAGAGUGUGCUACCUGGGAAGUAUAGUCGCAAGGCCGAAACUUAAAGGAAUUGGCGGGG
This 340-nucleotide ribosomal RNA is filed under the name uncultured euryarchaeote. RNAcentral's name for it is "bacterial SSU rRNA". It matches the Rfam family "Archaeal small subunit ribosomal RNA", at positions 534 to 873 of the family's 1478-position model. The record is from RNAcentral. Lineage: Archaea; Methanobacteriati; Methanobacteriota.